AGUGAACGCUGGCGGUAGGCCUAACACAUGCAAGUCGAACGGCAGCACAGUAAGAGCUUGCUCUUACGGGUGGCGAGUGGCGGACGGGUGAGGAAUACAUCGGAAUCUACUUUUUCGUGGGGAUAACGUAGGGAAACUUACGCUAAUACCGCAUACGACCUACGGGUGAAAGCAGGGGAUCUUCGGACCUUGCGCGAUUGAAUGAGCCGAUGUCGGAUUAGCUAGUUGGCGGGGUAAAGGCCCACCAAGGCGACGAUCCGUAGCUGGUCUGAGAGGAUGAUCAGCCACACUGGAACUGAGACACGGUCAAGACUCCUACGGGAGGCAGCAGUGGGGAAUAUUGGACAAUGGGCGCAAGCCUGAUCCAGCCAUACCGCGUGGGUGAAGAAGGCCUUCGGGUUGUAAAGCCCUUUUGUUGGGAAAGAAAAGCAGCAGGUUAAUACCCCGCUGUUCUGACGGUACCCAAAGAAUAAGCACCGGCUAACUUCGUG
This 491-nucleotide ribosomal RNA is filed under the name uncultured bacterium. RNAcentral's name for it is "partial 16S ribosomal RNA". It matches the Rfam family "Bacterial small subunit ribosomal RNA", at positions 29 to 507 of the family's 1533-position model. The record is from RNAcentral.